AUGUUACCGACGCAGCUGUGUUUCGAGCACCGGACCCUGCAGAUGUUGGAGGUGUUCGCAUUGAAGAUCUACAUCCUCGAGCAAUCCACCGUGCGCGCGUCUCCACAUCGCCUUCGAUGCGCUCGCUGUGCCACCCCCGCCGCUGUCGACCUCGUGCUAUCUGCGUCGCCUGGUUGGAUGGGUUGGCGCCCUCGCCCUCACCUGGUCGCAAGGGUUGGCGCCGCCGGCGCCUGUGGCCUGCUCCGCCAGAAGCAUCCCCUGCAUCGUCGGCUCCUCAUGCGCGAUGCGGUGCCGAAUCGAGGCAGAGCUACGCGCGCUCGAUGCGGGGGCAACGAGACCCGACCUCACCCGCCAACCUCGGCGACGCCGGCAGCCCGUCUUCAGAUCCGGCGAUGA
Molecule: ribosomal RNA, 396 nt
Filed under: Triticum aestivum (bread wheat)
Lineage: Eukaryota; Viridiplantae; Streptophyta; Magnoliopsida; Poales; Poaceae
Description: partial small subunit ribosomal RNA
Source: RNAcentral